GGAUUAGGCAUGCAAGUCGUGCGAGAAGUUGUUGCUGCUUGCAGUGACAGCGGAAAGCGGCGUAAGGGAGAGUUACACGUGGGUUACCUACCCCUGGAUCCGGGAUAGCGGCGGGAAACUGCCGGUAAUACCGGAUAAUGUCUCCGGACCAAAGGUGAGAUUCCGUCCGGGGAGGGGCCCGCGUCCUAUUAGCUUGUUGGUGGGGUAAUGGCCUACCAAGGCAAAGAUGGGUACCGGGUGUGAGAGCAUGGCCCGGCUCACUGGGACUGAGACACUGCCCAGACACCUACGGGUGGCUGCAGUCGAGAAUCUUCGGCAAUGGGCGCAAGCCUGACCGAGCGACGCCGCGUGCGGGAUGAAGGCCUUCGGGUUGUAAACCGCUGUCAGAGAGGCGGAAAUGCAUAGGGGUUCUCCCCUAUGUUUGACCUAUUCUCAGAGGAAGUCCGGGCUAAGUUCGUGCCAGCAGCCGCGGUAAUACGAACCGGACGAACGUUAUUCGGAAUCACUGGGCUUA
This 514-nucleotide ribosomal RNA is filed under the name uncultured bacterium. Its description in RNAcentral is "bacterial SSU rRNA". It matches the Rfam family "Bacterial small subunit ribosomal RNA", at positions 46 to 562 of the family's 1533-position model. RNAcentral also lists the same sequence under 1 other name. The record is from RNAcentral.